AUGUGCUCUAAUGCCUCCUCCUCCUCUGAUGCAGCAACGUGCUCUAAUGCCUCCUCCUCCUCCUCUGAUGCAGCAACGUGCUCUAAUGCCUCCUCCUCUUCCUCCUCCUCCUCCUCCUCCUCUAAUGCAGCAACGUGCUCUAAUCGCUCCUAUUCCUCCUCUUCCUCCUCUAAUGCAGCAACGUGCUCUAACGCCUCCUCCUCCUCUGAUGCAGCAACGUGCUCUAAUGCCUCCUCCUCUUCCUCCUCCUCCUCCUCUUCCUCCUCCUCCUCCUCUGAUGCAGCAACGUGCUCUAAUGGUCCUCCUCCUCCUCUAAUGCAGCAACGUGCUCUAAUGCCUCCUCCUCCUCCGCCUCCUCCUGAUGCAGCAACGUGCUCCAAUGCCUCCUCCUCCUCUGAUGCAGCAACGUGCUCUAAUACCUCAUCCUCUUCCUCCUCCUCCUCCUCGUCCGAUGCAGCAACGUGCUCUAAUGCCUCGUCCUCCUCUUCCUCUUCCUCUGAUGCAGCAACGUGCUAUAAUGCCUCCUCCUCCUCUGACGCAGCAACGAGCUCUAAUGCCUCCUCCUCCUCCUCUUCCUCCUUCUCUGAUGCAGCAACGUGCUCUAAUGCCUCCUCCUCCUCCUCUUCCUCCUCUGAUGCAGCAACGUGCUCUAAUGCCUCCUCCUCCUCCUCUUCCUCCUCUGAUGCAGCAACGUGCUCUAAUGCCUCCUCCUCUUCCUUCUCCUCCUCUUCUCCUCCGAUGCAGCAACGUGCUCCAAUGCCUCCUCCUCCUCUGAUGCAGCAACGUGCUCUAAUACCUCCUCCUCUUCCUUCUCCUCCUCCUCCUCCUCUCCUCCUCCUCCUGAUGCAGCAACGUGCUCCAAUGCCUCCUCCUCCUCUGAUGCAGCAACGUGCUCUAAUACCUCCUCCUCUUCCUCCUCUGAUGCAGCAACGUGCUCUAAUGCCUCCUCCUCUUCCUUCUCCUCCUCCUCUCCUCCUCCUCCUCCUGAUGCAGCAACGUGCUCCAAUGCCUCCUCCUCCUCUGAUGCAGCAACGUGCUCUAAUACCUCCUCCUCCUCCUCCUUCUCUGAUGCAGCAACGUGCUCUAAUGCCUCCUCCUCCUCCUCUUCCUCCUCUGAUGCAGCAACGUGCUCUAAUGCCUCCUCCUCUUCCUUCUCCUCCUCCUCCUCCUCUCCUCCUCCUCCUCCUCCGAUGCAGCAACGUGCUCUAA
RNAcentral lists this long non-coding RNA (1209 nucleotides) under Salmo trutta (river trout). RNAcentral's name for it is "lncRNA (ENSSTUG00000024011.1)". Lineage: Eukaryota; Metazoa; Chordata; Actinopteri; Salmoniformes; Salmonidae. The record is from RNAcentral.